AACGAACGCUGGCGGCAGGCUUAACACAUGCAAGUCGAGCGCCCCGCAAGGGGAGCGGCAGACGGGUGAGUAACGCGUGGGAAUCUACCUUUUGCUACGGAAUAACUCAGGGAAACUUGUGCUAAUACCGUAUGUGCCCUUCGGGGGAAAGAUUUAUCGGCAAAGGAUGAGCCCGCGUUGGAUUAGCUAGUUGGUGAGGUAAAGGCUCACCAAGGCGACGAUCCAUAGCUGGUCUGAGAGGAUGAUCAGCCACACUGGGACUGAGACACGGCCCAGACUCCUACGGGAGGCAGCAGUGGGGAAUAUUGGACAAUGGGCGCAAGCCUGAUCCAGCCAUGCCGCGUGAGUGAUGAAGGCCCUA
RNAcentral lists this ribosomal RNA (361 nucleotides) under Aquamicrobium lusatiense. RNAcentral's name for it is "bacterial SSU rRNA". It matches the Rfam family "Bacterial small subunit ribosomal RNA", at positions 29 to 419 of the family's 1533-position model. The record is from RNAcentral. Lineage: Bacteria; Pseudomonadati; Pseudomonadota; Alphaproteobacteria; Hyphomicrobiales; Phyllobacteriaceae.